CAGACGCGACAUUCUCUCGGAUGGCCGGUCGUCGUGGAGACGGGACCCUCGCGCCGAUGAGGGUAACACGGAGGGGCUGUUCCACGGGAAGAAUGGGGUAACAAGUAAUCCGGGGUGGAUUAAACGCUCUGCGCCGUCGUGAACCGUACUGAAUGAGGUCAAGAGUGUGUUCUACUCAUUCAGGGAGGCUUUUAGAAAGAACUUUCUGAAGCUGAUUUUUUGGAACGGUCUUGAAGUUAGUCGUGUGUUAAACCUCAGAACACAAGGGGUGACUGAAUUCUGGUUAUACCAGCUGAUAUACAGUUCCUCUGAGGGAGAUGGAAGCUCAGCGUGGGAUCGCCGUGGAAACCCUCUCAGAGCCGCUCCAGAUCCCCGCCGGCUCGCCGGAACCGACCGCGUCCCUCUGGACAUCCGCUCGUUAGCCCGCGCUCCGUCACCGUCUCCACGACAACGCUGACCUCUGACCUUCUCACAUCCUACCGGCUGAAUAGCAGAGCCAGAGUCCCAAACCGGUCCAAAACCAACAGCGGCCAGGGGUCUGACGGGAUGAACGUGCGCACGAACCCCGCCGACUCGAUAAAACCAGCAGAACGCGCGCGCACUUUUUUAAAUAAAAGAAGCGCGAAAGUCGCCAAAAAGCCGUUGGCGUUCAGCAGGGUCGUUGAGGGCUCAGAUCUCUGAUACUGUGUAAUCUAAAUGUAAAAUCAAUUAUUUAAAAAGGCAUUGCCUUUUAAUGUUCAAGCCAGUUAGUUAAUCAGAGAAGAGAAUACAUUUCAGAGAUUAAGAGAUUUCAUUAUAUUUAAUAAUUAAUCAGGGAAGUAUUUGUAUGUCUCUGCUGCCCUCUGGUGGUGAAGUUAAAGACUUGCAUACUGCUCUCUUUAGUACACACUACUACACUCCUGUUUUUCAUGAAGUAUAGUAAUUAAACACGGGCACAGUAUAUACUAUAUAAUGCAGAAAUACAGUAUGAUAGCAUGUUUAUUCUGAAUGGUAAUUUUCCCAUCAUGUCAAAACUAUACAUUGAACUUUUUAUUCCCCUAAUAAAGCUCCUUAACAUUGUCUUUUAUUUUAAAGCGAAUUUCACGAAGUACAUUUUGGUGCAGUAUCACUGAAUUAGACUUAAAGAAAGAACAAGCCGUGCUUCUGAGAGGGAAAUCAUUUAAUUUCAUUUUUAAAUAAUCUGUAAAUAACAAGAACAACAUGUACAGUUAUCACCGCGAGUACGAGAGAAUAGAAAGAUCCCAAAUGAAGAACUGAACUGAUCGAGUCUGGUACAGAAACACCGGUCACGUGACUGCUUUAAAAAGUUACUUGUCCAUAUAAAGAGGGGGAAAGAACAUCGUCAAGCUCCGGUCCAAUCACACGCUGAUUAUACAGUAACUAUGGCAACCGGCUCCAUCCCAUAAUGAAUUCAUGCAAAGGGGGGAAAGCGCGUGACUCCCCAGCAAACAAAUGAGCGCGACGCCGUUACAAAUGAUUUAAAAAAAAUCAAAACAAACAUUAUGGCCACAUGUAAUUAGACAUAAAAAAAUAAUAAUAAAAUCAACACGCGUACAGAAGUCGAGUAGAGCCCAGAGGAGCUCGUGUCCAUGAAGAAAAGCAGAAAAACUAACGUUCUGCGAUCAGCGUUCAAUUAAGUAACGCAACGCAACAAAGUGACGUCAGACCGCACUGCACACAAAGUCUCGCGAUAGUUGGAAUCCUCUUUACCAACCAAGCGAAUAAAGAAAAUGACUUCAUUAGUAUAAAUUCGUAAAACGAUGUCGUUACAAUCAACAAAGUUGAUUUGGUUACACCGACUUCUAAGAGACGUCUAGUCCACGUUAAGCAGCAAAGUCAAUUGCGAUCAGAACUUCACGAGAACGACUUCCGUUCAAAUCUGAAGUGAACUUCAACCAUUCGUCAAGAGCGACGUCAAAGGCGUUUCUGAACGUGAUCACGCAACCAAACUGCGUGAAAACCGCGCUGCUGUUAAUUAUGAAUAUUACUUCAUAGGUUGACUUUGCAAACUACUUUGUGAAAAUCAACUUUAUCAUACUAUUUUAUGUUAUUUACUUCGUAAAUACCCGCUAGCGUCAACAAAGCUGUUAGCGUCACUUCUCAACGACAGUAAUAUCGUAGUAAAAACACCUUUUGUAAGUAAGGUUAUCGCUGUAACCAGUGUCGUAACAUCUAAGUGAAGUGUAACACGACUUCGUAACACGUGCAGCGGCGUCCAUGGCCGCCAUUUUGUUGCAUUGAGUCGUUCGCUGCCAUGAACUCAAGACUAGGGUGAAUAUAAAGUGAUCAACAGCUGCGAAAAAUCAACAGAGUAAACCUUCGGCAUUUAUAAAGUAAAUAUUCUAGUCUACUUGACGGCCAACAAACACCAUCACACACACACUCUCUCUCACUCUCACACACACACACACACACACAAUCCAUUUGUUCAGAUUGCUGUGAUAUGAGCGGGGUCUUCUUUAUUAUUAUUAUUAUCAUUAUUUUUUAUCAUCGUAGGACGCUAAUCACACUAAGACAAACACCGUGACGCUCGGGAGGGAGAUCUCAUUUGGUUUAAGUUGCUAUUUACAUAAUCCAGUUGAAAAACACUGU
Long non-coding RNA from Puntigrus tetrazona (Sumatra barb), 2592 nucleotides. RefSeq lists it as uncharacterized. NCBI's taxonomy places the organism in Eukaryota, Metazoa, Chordata, Actinopteri, Cypriniformes, Cyprinidae. The record is from RefSeq and is a predicted model, not a curated record. The transcript is spliced from 2 exons.